AUUCUUACUGCGACAGAGCAUAUAUCAAGAUUGGAAUGCAACAGGGUAGACUAGUAUAGGCCCUGGCCAAGGAUGACACAUAAACUGAUGAAGUGUUUCACAUUUCU
This is a non-coding RNA of Glossina palpalis gambiensis, 107 nucleotides long. Lineage: Eukaryota; Metazoa; Arthropoda; Insecta; Diptera; Glossinidae. The record is from Rfam.